This 524-nucleotide ribosomal RNA is filed under the name uncultured bacterium. Its description in RNAcentral is "partial 16S ribosomal RNA". It matches the Rfam family "Bacterial small subunit ribosomal RNA", at positions 355 to 871 of the family's 1533-position model. The record is from RNAcentral.
UGGGGAAUUUUGGACAAUGGGGGCAACCCUGAUCCAGCAAUGCCGCGUGUGUGAAGAAGGCCUUCGGGUUGUAAAGCACUUUUGUCCGGAAAGAAAACGCCGUGGUUAAUACCCGUGGCGGAUGACGGUACCGGAAGAAUAAGCACCGGCUAACUACGUGCCAGCAGCCGCGGUAAUACGUAGGGUGCAAGCGUUAAUCGGAAUUACUGGGCGUAAAGCGUGCGCAGGCGGUCCGCUAAGACAGAUGUGAAAUCCCCGGGCUUAACCUGGGAACUGCAUUUGUGACUGGCGGGCUAGAGUAUGGCAGAGGGGGGUAGAAUUCCACGUGUAGCAGUGAAAUGCGUAGAGAUGUGGAGGAAUACCGAUGGCGAAGGCAGCCCCCUGGGCCAAUACUGACGCUCAUGCACGAAAGCGUGGGGGAGCAAACAGGAUUAGAUACCCUGGUAGUCCACGCCCUAAACAAUGUCAACUAGUUGUCGGGUCUUCAUUGACUUGGUAACGUAGCUAACGCGUGAAGUUGACCG